Molecule: long non-coding RNA, 1722 nt
Filed under: Sus scrofa (pig)
Lineage: Eukaryota; Metazoa; Chordata; Mammalia; Artiodactyla; Suidae
Description: lncRNA (ENSSSCG00065056709.1)
Source: RNAcentral
AUGUGCUCCUGCGGCUCCCCGCUUCUGGGUUUUCCAGAAACUGCAGAUCACUUUUUCAUUAUUGAGCACGCACAGUGUGUAAAUAUAUUUCGUUUCUCAACACCCCAAUUAAGCCCCUUGGCUCUACCAGGACCUCCAUGUUCUGGCCACCUGCAUGUUCCACCUUUGACCACGUCACAUGGGGGUCCACCCCUCCUCCCUCUAGCUCAGUCUCCUCCAACCCCCCCGACGCCCUCCUGGAAGGGCAGGGCCGUAGCCCCUUCUCUCUUCCCCACACCCCUCCAGCACUCGCCACAUGUUGGGGCUGCAAGGUUUCGCGGGCAGCUUGUCCCCCACAGCCCUGCCCCCUGGGCAGCUGGGUUCCUGAUGGUGUGAGAACACAGGGACUUCACCCGGCUUCUGCCUGCGGCACGUUGGUCUCCUCUUGGCCUCAGUCUCCUCAUCUGUGAAGCGGGGAUGCAUCAAGUCACCGUGUCGCUGGGGUCUGGGGUGAUAAGGCGGGACAGCGCUAUGAGAGGACUACCACCUUGCAAGAGGGGUGUGCACACACGGGUCACCCUCGCUUCCAUUCCGACGUGUCCCUGUGGCCCCUCCAGGCCCAGCUCAGCACGACAGAGGCAGAGGUGCUCUGUAAAUACCACCUGAGGAAUCUGUAAAAUUUGAGGGGGCCAAGGGCGAAAAUGCGCCGUAAGCCCCAAUCCUAGGACCAGGGAGCCCACUUCGGAGCUUGGUGAGAGGAUGUUGGGACAGAGUGAAGGCACUCCCACAUGACAGAAAAUGAUGCAAGUCCAGAAUGAACUGGCCUAAGAGGCUAAGAACAGAAAUUGCUUCCAAAACCGUCUGAAGACUGGAGAUGGUUAUGGGGACCGUGGAGUGACAGCAGAGACGCCCUUCAGCCCACGAGCCCAGGCGGGCGGAGCAUGGAAGUCAGAGGCAGGAAGAGAGGAUGCCACAGCCCUCGCGCCAACCUGCUGCCCAAGAGCAGAGGCCCGGGCCCCGCCCCUGUCACCAGUCCUGGGCGCUGGGACCCUAACCCAGGCAGUCACCCCAGACCCCCCUCCUGGCCCCCAGAGCUGGAGGGGAACAGAAGGGUCCCUUCGAUGCUGGCAGUGCCCAGAGAGACCUCAUCACCCCUUUCUUUGGCCCUAGGUGGGCUCUGGUCCUCAGGCCUCGGCAGAGUCACACUCAGGUUCUUGGCCCAGGAGGAGUGACCUGGAGGGAGGGGGGACCCUAGUCUGGAGGUCCCUGAGAGGUGGGAGAUGAGAAUCUGGCAGGGGGCACCUCCUGGGCUGGGAACAUGCAAACGAGGCAGGGGAAGGAGUCUGGCAUUAAAUGUCAGGAAGAGCCCAGGGCAACUCGGCUUGUGCAAAGUUUGCUUUGGGAAGAGUCGUUCCACCUGACAGGUUACUCUCUUGGCUGGGGGCGCAGGGUGGGGCGUGGAAUGGAGGCGGGUGGGGGUGGGGUCAGGGGAGGGUCCCAUGCCAUUUGGAGCCCAACUCCCUGCUCUCCAGCUUGAGCACUUGGGCAAGAGACUCAACUGUCCCAUCGAUCAAAUGGGCCAUCAAGAGUGUGUCUUACUUCGAAACACUUUCGGGUUUCCAAAUGAGACUGGUUGGGGGAUGGGGGAUACGCUCGGGCUUGGGACGGAAAUGCUAUAAAAUUGGGUUGUGAUGAUCACUGUACAACUACAAAUGUAAUAAAAUUCAUUAAAAAAUAAAAGCA